Molecule: RNA transcript, 4583 nt
Organism: Cyprinus carpio (common carp)
Lineage: Eukaryota; Metazoa; Chordata; Actinopteri; Cypriniformes; Cyprinidae
Gene: herc4
Gene name: HECT and RLD domain containing E3 ubiquitin protein ligase 4
Exons: 25
Source: RefSeq, a predicted model, not a curated record
GUCGUCACAUCCGGUGUCACAAAGGCUCUAGAAUAUUACCGUAGCUUCGCGUUCAUUCCGCCGUGUGUGUAUUUAAGCGCGUGUCCUGCUGCUGGCGCUCUUUCAGUCUGUCAUGACUUUACAAAACAUAUCUGCAUUAACGUUCACGUAAACAAACUCUGAACGUGCGCUGGACGCGUCUACAGGAGCGUUAUAUUACAUAUCAACAGCGGCUGGACCUGUAGGUCUUCACCUGCGGAAGAGAGCGGCCUUACGGGCCCGUCGUCAUGCUGUGCUGGGGGAACGCCUCGUACGGACAGCUGGGUUUGGGUGGGAUUGAUGAGGAGAUAGUGCUGGAGCCGAGGAAAUGCGAGUUCUUGGAGGGCAAGCGUGUGCGGGAUGUGGGAUGCGGCAGACGUCACAGUGUCUUUCUGCUGGAGGACGGGACGGUGUACACCUGCGGCUGCAAUGACCUGGGACAGCUGGGGCAUGACAAAGCACGCAAGAAACCAGAACAGGUCAUGUCUCUGGAUGCUCAGAACAUUGUGGCCGUGUCUUGCGGUGAAGCUCAUACUCUGGCUCUGAAUGAUAAAGGACAAGUGUUUGCAUGGGGUCUGGGCUCAGACGGGCAGCUCGGCCUUUCAAACAUCGAAGAUCGUAUCCGUAUACCCAGAACUGUCAAGAGUUUAUCAGAGGUCCACAUUGCCCAGGUGGCCUGUGGAAACUGCCAUUCCCUUGCUUUAGCCAGAGGAGGUCAGAUAUUCUCCUGGGGCCAAAAUAAAUAUGGACAGCUGGGGCUGGGAAUGCAGGGAGCCGGCGUCUCCUCCCCACAAGUCGUUCAGUCUUUGCAGGGCGUCCCAUUUGCCCAGAUAUCUGCAGGGGGCGCUCACAGCUUCGGGCUCACGCUGUCUGGGGCCGUUUUCGGCUGGGGGCGAAACAAGUUUGGCCAGCUGGGCCUCAGUGACAAUGAUGAUCGCUGUUUCCCUGCCUUGCUGAAGACUCUCAGGUCCCAAAGGGUCGUCUACAUAAGCUGUGGAGAGGACCACACGGCUGUACUAACAAAGGAGGGAGGUGUGUUUACAUUUGGAGCUGGAGGUUACGGUCAGCUGGGACACAACACCACAAACAAUGAGGUGAACCCCAGGAAGGUGUUUGAGCUCAUGGGAAGUGUGGUUGCACAGAUAGCUUGUGGUAGGCAGCACACUUUGGCGUUCAUCCCUUCAUCGGGAAAGAUUGACUCGUUUGGUCUCGGCGGUAACGGACAGCUAGGAACCCGCUCGACCUGCAAUAGGAUAAGUCCCGCCCCUGUGAAGGGCUGCUGGCGAGCACAUACUGAUCCUGUGCCCGUGGAUGUAGAGGCGGAGCAGAGUUUCUGUGUGAAAAGGAUUUAUGCUGGAGGAGACCAGAGCUUCGCUCACUACGCUUUACCUCAGGACGACAGCCCCCCAGUUGACCGGAGGAUAACCAGACCUGAUGGACAGAUAUACACGCUCAGUGAUGACCUCAUCCAAAAAUGGCUCAAUCACGGCCAUGGGAGACUAUCACCAGAAAUCACCAAUGAGAUUGAUCUUGUGUUCUCUUCAGCAAGUUGUCUCAAUGGAAGCUUUCUUUCUGGAAGUAAUCCAGAUCACUACAGCACUAACAGUAAGUGCUCAGGUGUAGACAUUAACACGGCUCGCCUGCUCUACCACAGACUCAUCCAGCCCGAUUACCCACAAAUCUCACAAAUUGUAGCUGCUAGUUUGGAGAAGAAUCUCCUCCCCAGAUUGAGCAGUUCUCCUCCAGACAUUGAGGCUUUGAGACUGUACCUCACGCUGCCCGAGUGUCCGCUCCUCAGCAACCCCAACAACUACACAACCCUCACGAUUCCCUUCGCCAAGGCUGUCGUGAGCCUGAAGGACGCCCCCCUCAGAGUGCUCGGAAACUGGUGGUCAAAGUUUGAGCCAGCGGUCUUCCAGAGGCUGGUGGAGCUCUAUAAAGAGGUGGUGGUGUAUCUCCUGCGGAUGCAGAAGCUGGGAAUUCCUCUUUCUGAACAGAGGAUCUUCACCUGCUUCCUGCACACCUCACUCAAGUUCCUGGAGAUCCUCCACUCGGUUAAUGAGCGUGCUGGCCAGAUCAUCCAGUAUGACAAGUUUUAUAUUCAUGAGCUGGAUGAGCUCAUUGACAUCAGGAAUGAUUAUGUCACCUGGUUUCAGCAGCAGAUGUUCUCUGUGGUGAGUUUUCUGCAUUGUCCAAAGGUCAUGGACUCUCAGGUGACCAUGUGCAAAUACCCAUUUGUUUUUGAUGCUCAGGCGAAGACGGCGCUGCUUCAGACUGAUGCUGUGAUCCAGAUGCAGAUGGCGGUGGAUCAGGCUCAGAGACAGAACUUACACUCUCUGUUCGUGCCCGGCGGAGGAGUGGAGUCAGUAAACCCCUGCCUCAUCCUCAUCGUACGCCGAGAAAACGUGGUCGGAGACUCCAUGGAGGUGCUGAGGAAGUCCAAAAACGUCGAUUACAAGAAGCCACUCAAGGUGAUCUUCGUGGGAGAGGAGGCCGUAGACGCUGGCGGUGUGAGAAAAGAGUUCUUCCUGCUCAUCAUGAAAGAACUCUUGGACCCUAAAUAUGGGAUGUUCAGAUACUACGAGGAGUCCAGACUCAUCUGGUUCGCUCACAAGACAUUUGAAGACAUCGAUCUGUUCCAUCUGAUCGGUGUGGUCUGCGGAUUGGCCAUCUAUAACCUCACUAUAGUGGAGCUGAACUUCCCGCUAGCGCUGUACAAGAAACUCCUGAAGAAAACUCCCACCCUAGAGGACCUGAAGGAGCUCAUGCCUGACGUAGGAAGGAGUCUUCAGCAGCUGCUGGAUUACACGGAGGAUGAUCUGGAAGAGGCUUUCUGCCUGAAUUUCACAAUCAUAGAGGAAAGCUUUGGCACCACAGAGGUAUUGGAGCUGGUUCCCAACGGGACAGACAUCAGCGUCAACAAGUCCAACAGGCAGGAGUUCGUCAAUGCCUACGUCGAUUAUAUAUUCAACACCUCCGUGGCUCCUCAGUUCAGCGCUUUCUACGCGGGAUUUCACAAAGUGUGUGGAGGGAAAGUUCUAGAGCUUUUCCAGCCCAGUGAACUGCAGGCCAUGGUCAUAGGAAACACCAAUUAUGACUGGAAGGAGCUAGAGAAGAGCACAGAGUAUAAGGGCGAGUACUGGGCGGAUCACCCCACCAUCAAGAUAUUCUGGGAAGUGUUUCACGAGCUGCCUUUGGAGAAGAAGAAACAGUUCCUGCUGUUCCUCACGGGCAGCGACCGAAUCCCCAUCCUUGGCAUGAAGAGCCUGGCGUUAGUGAUCCAGCCCACCGGUGGCGGAGAGGACUAUUUCCCUGUAGCGCACACAUGCUUCAACCUGCUGGAUCUGCCCAAGUACACUAAUAAGGAGACACUCAAAGAGAAACUGCUGCAUGCCAUCGAACACACCCAGGGCUUCAACCUCGUCUGACGUCAGCGAGCGCAGACCCAGCAAUCCGUGUACAGACCGUAUGUGAGACACAGAUGUGGACUGAUGGACUGCCGUGGAUUAUUGUGAUGUUUUUAUCAGCUGUUUGGACUCUCAUUCUGACGGCACCCAUUCACUGCAGAGCAUCCAUUGAUGAGACACUGAUGCAGUGCUACAUUUCUACAAACCUGAUGAAGAAACAAACCCAUCCUGAUCUCGGAUGACCUGAGGAUGAGUACAUAUUCAGCAAAUUUCUGGGAGAAAUACUCCUUUAACCAUGCAACACACUACAGUAAGAAUCUAUACAUUAAUAUAAGCAUCAUAAAAGAACUGUGUUUUACAGAAUGUAUUAAUUUAUAAAUUCACCAUAGUGAACAAAUUAAUAAAUGUUCAUUUAUAAAAAUACUGUUACAUUGUAUUACUAUUACUGUAAAAAUGUAUAUGUAAAAAAAUACACUGAGAUUAUUAGUAUUAACUAAUGUUAGCAUUACAAAACCUUUGUUUUUUUAUUUUAUUUAAUUACAUAGAAUAUGUAUUUAUUCUAUGUUUAUUCUAAAUGGCUUCACAAACCGUCUCGUGGAUGGAGCUGAUAGGAAGAUGCUGGAUUUGUUAAAUGUUGUGUGACUUUUUCUGAAAACAUUUUGGCAUAUUGUUCAGAUUCAGUUUAGGAUGCACUGGAUGGAUAUUGACGCAGAAUCAUUUUGUUCUGCACAUGAUUUUGUUCGAAGGAAGUGGCGUGUGUCCUUGCAGGAUCUUAAACCACUUCUGUGUCACGUGCCUUAACUGAAAACACACACACAGAUUGUUUUGGGCUUUUUUGUGUUUCAUUUUCUUCGAAGUUUGAGUAAGUAUCAAAAUCUGAUAGCAGCAGCAGCAGCAGCAGCACGUGUCUGAUGAAAACGCUGUUCAUCGCUGAUAUAAUGUUCAUUUACUGGAGCGGCAAUGCAAAGUCUUACAGAUGUUUAGAAGUUUGCAUGAUUACAGAAUCAAAUAAAACGCCACUGAUAACAUUCUAAGUAAUAACUCAUGUCCAAUACAGAUAAAAAAUGAGUUUGAUGAAUGGAGUUCAAGUUUGAACUCCAUCAGUCUUAACCCUCUCGUCACGCACGUGUCUACACUGUGUGAGCUUUUAAUUUCUUC